RNAcentral lists this ribosomal RNA (643 nucleotides) under uncultured Sebacina. RNAcentral's name for it is "eukaryotic LSU rRNA". The stretch from base 233 to 386 matches the Rfam family "5.8S ribosomal RNA". Lineage: Eukaryota; Fungi; Basidiomycota; Agaricomycetes; Sebacinales; Sebacinaceae. The record is from RNAcentral.
UCUUGGUCAUUUAGAGGAAGUAAAAGUCGUAACAAGGUUUCCGUAGGUGAACCUGCGGAAGGAUCAUUAACGAGUUCAAAAGUCGGUCGACCGUGCUGGCGGAGACGCAUGUGCACGUCGGUCGCGAACCAUCCACACACCGUGAACCUAUGGCCUGGGGUUUGAGUUCAGACCCUGGGCACCAUUUUUACACUCUGUUUGUAAAGGAAUGUCUUAUAUCAUAUAAACAUACAACUUUCAACAACGGAUCUCUUGGCUCUCGCAUCGAUGAAGAACGCAGCGAAAUGCGAUAAGUAAUGUGAAUUGCAGAAUUCAGUGAAUCAUCGAAUCUUUGAACGCACCUUGCACCCUUUGGUAUUCCGAAGGGUACGCCCGUUUGAGUGUCAUUGUAAUCUCACCCCGAAAUCUUUUUUUGGAGUGGACUUGGAUGCUGCCGUGUUGCAUGGCUCGUCUUGAACGUCUCAGUAAGCCCCGCCCGUCGGUGUAGACAGCGUGAUAAGUAUCUUCGCUGGUCAAGCCUCUCCGGAGGCGCACCCUCGAGCAUGGAAGCCUGCUGCCAACCGUCUUUUGACAACCUUUGACAAUUUGACCUCAGAUCGGGUGGGACUACCCGCUGAACUUAAGCAUAUCAAUAAGCGGAGGA